GCAAGAAAGAAUUUCAGUUUCAGUUUCGCUCUCCUUUUGCUUCUCUCUCGUUCUUCUCGCUCAAUACCCUAAUUUUUGGAUUUCUGUAAGAUCCCCAAAUUAAUCAAUCAAUGCCAGGCAAGCGCUCUCGCUUAACUCAUACGCAGAGCUUCAGCGACAUUGGUUUCAGCAACCACCGACUUCCGCCGUGGGAUGCUGGUUUCGUUGCUGAUGACACGGACGAUCAGUCUCUCCAGAGGAUUAUCACGGUCUCGCCUCCUCAGCCGCUGCUGCCAGAGAAAGAGAAGGAUAUAGGAGGUGGAUUAGUGAAGACUGAGCAUUUUCUUGAUAGGUGUGGCUAUUGCAAGAAGAGAUUGAAUAAAAAACAGGAUGUCUAUAUGUACGGUUACUUGGGUGCCUUUUGUAGUCCUGAGUGCCGUGAUGCACAGAUUGCAAUUGAUAAGGCAGGGCAGGAAGUUCGUGGACAAUCAAUCGGAACAAAGACUUGAAGCAUCGGGACGAAUAAAUUGUAUCUAGCUAGAUAGUGCCAUGGCGAACUAGAUUUGGUGGUGCAUUGCUGUCAAGUUUUUCGGAUUGGCUUGCACCUGUGACUAGAGUUGGCAUCCUUAAUUUGCACUCACACUCCCAUGACUAACAUAUCAUUGGGCAAAGUUUCACCUGUUUGUUUUAGGAUCGAAAACUUUUUUCUUUCAUGAUAGGUUGAAUAUGGAUAUUGCAUUUUCCUGUUUUCAUUGGAAAAUGUGAUUUUAUGAAUUUCUUGAUAUUUCAAGCUUAGAAUUAGUCAUGCAUAUAUGAUGAAUUGGUUUUGUUACAGAAUCGGAAACCUUAUAUCCUUUCAUGCAGUUUAUGUUCGCUCUCAAUGAUUUCAAAUUUUCAACAUUGAGAUGGCUAUUAUAUCGCGAGCUUGCCUUUUGCUAUUGCUUCCUUGACUAUAUAUCUAACUGUUCAUGCUUCAAUUUAUUUGAUUUCAAGCAUCUUAUGAAGUUUAGUUGCUGGAUAUGCUAACAUUUGAUUGAUCACAAAAAAAUAUAUAUGAAAAUGUCAUCAUCUUCACAUGUAUCGUGUGUGUUCUCCAUCUUAUUGAUCGUUUCCCCCCAUUUUUUCCCAUAUGAAACUUUUCAUACAUGGAUUAGGCUCACAUGGUCAGGAAGAAAUUGGAUCAGCCGGAAUAUUCACGACUGCAACUUGAUUUGAAUCCGGGCCACUCUAAGUUUGAAUCCUUGUGUUUUUUCCUUCGUUAAUUUCAAACAGGUUUUGAUUUCUUAUUAAUUGUUUUCCCCCAUUUUUUCCUAUAUGAAACUUUUCAGUCAUGGAUUAGGCUCACAGGGUCAAGAAGAACCUGGAUUAGCCGGACUAUUCACGACGGCAACUUGAUUUGAAUCUGGGCCACUCUUAAGUUUGAAGAAUUCUUGAUUUCUUGUGUUUUUUCCUUCAUUUCAAACAGGUUUGAACUCUUUAUUUCUCGAUUUUUUUUCGAGCUGAAAAAUAAAACAUACGGGCUAUGUUUGAAUGGGCCUUUUGGAGCAUCACUAGUCGAUUACUUUACCCAGUCAGCGGGCUAGAGGACUAUGCGAGGUGAGAUUUUGAAAUCGAUCAGGCCCAUUGGGUAGAAAUUUUUCUUUGCCCACUGCUCUUACCCAAACGGCCCAUUAGUUGUAUUUCCUCUCACUGUUCCGCAUUCGAAUUCCACUUUGGAGCAACUUUUUCCAGUGUAAACUGCUAGUGAAUCGAGUUUAUAUUCACAGGUGCUUUUAUUAGUUUCUCUUUUACUCAUCUACGUCAAAUACCUGCAAUUAAAAAGUUUGCUCGUUUUUCUUUUUCUGUGUUUGUUGUUUUCUCCCAAGUGCGUGGUAAGAAAUGCCAGUUCCGUUAAUAUUGAAGAGGCUAAGCCCACAAUAAUGUUAAUCCGAUCUUUUCAAGUUCAUCCUUAGUUAAUCUUUCUGCUGUAUCGAAAAACCGUGGUUAGCACAAAGUUCCUAUGGAUACUGUUCUUGUCGAUUCCGUUAUUACUCUUUAUCUUGUUCAGCCUUAAUCUGGUCUUUAAUUAACAAAAACUAAAUCAUGCGGGGAACACUAUAGCUGCUAUCACGGAAUACAAUGGAUUGCUACUACAGUGUUUCGCACAAUUAAUUAGGCUGGCAACAAUUGCAAGAGAGGUAUUUGUGAUUAGAAAGACUUGAAAAAGAAGAAGACAAUGAUCUCUCAAUUGCAAAAGAAUGAAAUUUUACAACUGCAGAAUAUUAUAGUUUCAGAGGCAAAAUUUACUUGCCGUACAAAAUCCAAAACACCAAACCCGCUAACCCUAGAGAAGUCAAUCAGCUUAAGCCUAAAGCCCAUGAAAACCCCACAAAUACAUCGCUGAUAAAACCCCAGAUACCCAAGCAACCAACACAAACACCAAAGACCUCGCUGAAACCAGCGCAAAGCGAUGGAGCUCGAGAUCUGAAAGCGACGACAAAAAAGCAAAGUGAACCGGUGACAAAAAAUCAAAGUGAACUAGAAUGGUGGCGUGUUGAAGAGGGUUAAACCCUUGCAUCACAGUGAGAGCCAUAGAGAAGUCGAGCUGGAAGGAAAGGAAGAAAGAUUCUUAUAUAUAUAUAUAUCUCGAAAAGAAAAGUAGUAACAGUGGCUUUUAAAUGAUUUUUCCCACUUGAAUUUGAGGUUUAUGGUCUGUUGUUGAUGAUUUCUUUUGUUUUGCUGAUUCUCGGUACUUUAUAUUGUUUAUGUUUUGUUCUUAGGUUCUUGGGUUUUGUUUCGAGAAGGGCUACUGGGCUUGGUUUGUUGGCUGUCAGAUUGUGGAGUGCUGCCCUGACGUAUGCGGUGAGUCUCCCUCCCGAAUAAGCUGAUUAAUAGGAUAACCAAGUUGCUUCUUCUAGCUGCGAAGCAUCUGAACCACUGCGAAAAAAACAAUGGUCUUCUGCGUCAACCCACGCUGUAGGACAUAUAGCUAUGUAGCCAUAUGAAUGUACUUUUUGUGAUGCCACAUACUUUUUUCCUUCCUUCGACAACAUUCUACUUAACUCUCUUGCCAUACGCUGCUAUAUUUAGCUCUUUUGGAUUUAUCGAACAUCUUUUUGUUAUGAAUUCCUCGAACAACAACCAUGUUCAGUAAAUGUAGCCUUUUGUUUUCUUAUGCACUUAAUAUUCAAGUUUUGAUGACGCAUGACCAUCUCUUUCAUCUGCCUUUGCAAUUGCUCAACCACAACAUUCAUUUCCUUACAAUACAGUACCGUAAUCUUGC
This is an RNA transcript of Populus trichocarpa (black cottonwood), 3241 nucleotides long. It is a transcript of the gene named FCS-Like Zinc finger 7, with no coding region annotated. Lineage: Eukaryota; Viridiplantae; Streptophyta; Magnoliopsida; Malpighiales; Salicaceae. The transcript is spliced from 4 exons. The record is from RefSeq and is a predicted model, not a curated record.